RNAcentral lists this unclassified non-coding RNA (338 nucleotides) under soil metagenome. RNAcentral describes it as "partial contains 5.8S ribosomal RNA, internal transcribed spacer 2, and large subunit ribosomal RNA". The stretch from base 1 to 120 matches the Rfam family "5.8S ribosomal RNA", at positions 35 to 154 of the family's 154-position model. The record is from RNAcentral.
GAUGAAGAACGUAGUGAAAUGCGAUACGUAGUGUGAAUUGCAGAAUUCAGUGAAUCAUCGAAUCUUUGAACGCACAUUGCACCUCUCGGUAUUCCGGGAGGUAUGCCUGUUCGAGCGUCAUUUGUACCCUCAAGCUCUGCUUGGUGUUGGGUGUUUGUUCCGCCUCUGUGUGUGAACUCGCCUCAAAACAAUUGGCAGCCGGCGUACUUGUUUCGGAGCGCAGCACAUUUUGCGAUCCAGAUCAACGUACAGCGGCAUCCAAGAAGCCUUAUUUAACGCUCUUGACCUCGGAUCAGGUAGGGAUACCCGCUGAACUUAAGCAUAUCAAUAGCGGAGGA